Amphiprion ocellaris (clown anemonefish) is the source of this 3975-nucleotide long non-coding RNA. Lineage: Eukaryota; Metazoa; Chordata; Actinopteri; Pomacentridae. The record is from Ensembl.
GUGUUGUGUGCUGGUGGCAGCGGCGGCAGGUGCGAGCAAUCUGGGCAUCAGCAGGAACCGGUGUGCCAGGACCAAUUUGUCAUCAUCAGUUCGACGCCGGAUCGUGAAUGCUCACAUGCGGACCACACCUGCUCUGCUGAUCGAACCAUCUUGCCCUACUGGACUCAUCAAGACCUCUGUGUUCCUAAUGUGGCCUACUGAUUAGCCAUCAUGCCAUACAGCUGUGGGGGAACUAAUGAUUGGUUUGGCCGUUGCAGCAGGGGGUUCCAAUUGAUUGACGGACAUAGCUCCAGUAUACUCCUGAACACUCCUGGACAGGUACGCGCUGUGCAGCACGCGAAACACUGUCCGAAGAGGGAGAGAUGAAAAAGGGGAAGGAGAGGAGAGCGUUUAAGGUCAGGAAGAACCAGGUAAGAAAACAAACAGAGAACAGUGGCAGCAGAACAACAACUGUUAAGCUGACAAGCAUUUAAAUAACCUUUAUCAGAUUCGAUGGUUUAGUCACAGACUUUGUCAAAAAAUGUUCUGCUUUUCUUUCACAAAUGUGGGAAUGAAAUUGCGUUAAAAUGUACAAAACAGUGAAAUGUAUCUUGCCUGUCCGGGCACCUCUGGGUGCUCAGCACCAGUGUUACCAACUCCUCAGUAAGGAAAGUAGCUAUUGGCUGUCCUAAAAGUCGCUAAAUGACGUCAUCGCCUAAUUUGCACAGUUUCCCGGUAAUUGUAAUCAACGUUGUAGGAGAGACAGAAAGUGAGAAUAAAACACCCAAAAUGUGUUUCUGAACUAGAGGCUGAAUGCAGGGAUUUAUUUUAGUGACAGUGAAGAAACAUUUUCAUUUCCAUCCCGCUCUGUAAGCAGGACGGAUCUGCAGAGACUUUGAUUCAUCUGCCGUCUGGACAUGGAGUGAUGUGGGUCUCCUCUAAUCAGACAGUAGGAUGCUGCAGGUCACUAGACUGACCGCCUGUGCUUUGGAAGGGGAGGAGCUCACAGCGCCACCUGCUGCUCGUUGAGGACGGUAACUACAGAACGAUCCCAGCUUUCAUGUCAGACAGGGGCGGAUCCAGAUUCAUUUUAGUGGGGGGGCACAGGGGGGUACAACAGAUAUUUUGGGGGGAUUGUAAGAAAAAAUGAAAGCUGCUACUGACCUCUCGCUUUUACAAAGUAUUUUACAUGUUUUUUUUUUUGGCUCUUUAACCCAAUAGGAAAGCUGUAUAUGACCUUUUCAUUUUGGACUGUUAACAUUCAAAUUAUGAUGGACUUGUUUCCUUGUUUAUAUGAAUUACAGCAUCAUUAGCUGCAACAUCUGCCUGUUCUGUAAAACUGGUAGUUCGACAGCAUCCUGAGGGCAAUUAAGUGACAAAUAUUGAGCAAGAACAGCAUGAUUACAACUCUGUCAAUUUCCACUUCUUAGAAUGUUUACUGUCAAUUAUCACACAUAAAACAAGAAAUAAUAUUCUGUACUUUUAGCAACCAGUUCUCAGCUGUAAACCAUGAACAUCACAGGGUUCUGUAUUCUAAUCAGUCUAAAUCAGAAUGAGUACUACCCAAUACACAGUGAAUAAAUAUUAUCUGAAAGUCAGGUUAUUGUUGUUUAUCAGCACAAUACAAAAAGAUUCAUGUUAGAAAUAUUCCAGUUAAGACUCUAGAAAAUCAUGAUUUAUGUAAAUUUACCUCAAUAAUAUGAAUGUUCAGGUUAAGAUUGUGCAGUGAUAUUUAUUAUGCAAGUUUAGCUGAUUAAAGUUUAUGCCUCCGCACUACAAUAUUAUUUAGUAUAUACAUUUACAUCAUUAUUAUAAUAUUUAGGGUCAGACUCUACAGUAUUGAGAUUAAGAAAUCAAAUAUUCUAUAAAAUGUAAAUACAUUGAACUCAUUUGGAUAUAUUUAAGUGAGACUCUACAAUAUUGUUUGACACAAAUCUAUCUAAAUCCAAAUUUUAAUCAUUUUUACUCCAAACAUUUACUGGGCUGGUUUAAAUAUUAAAAUCACUCCUUUCUAAUCCUCUGCUGUCUGUUCAAACCUGAGGCCUUAAAUAGAAACACACAAGUAUCUGAUUGAAGGAACUUCUGCAGAGUCCUGGUUCCACAACAUGAUGAUAGAAUUAUAGACAAACUUUAACAAAAGCUGCCUGAGAGUUUACAGGUUUUUAUGUUAGAUUUCUUCAGUAAUUUAAUAAGAGUUAUCAGCAAAAAUCAAGUGUUCAUUUGAUGAACUUCAUUUCCUUAAACAUCCAGAAUUGGAGCUCAUAUCUUUGGCAGCUGUAAAGUUUCUGCUCCUUCAAAGUUCACAACACAAUGAAUGAAUUCCUAAAACACUCUCAAUGCUGGAGAGCGUUUGUGAUGCUGAAGCAGUGAUCAGUUUUUCUGUUUCUUCUCUGGAGAUGCACAAUGAGGGACGUCUGCAGAGACUGAGAAAGAGUCUCACCACAUCCUGACAUGAGGAAAAAGACUUUAUUGAAGACUACAAUGAGAAAAACUAUCAGACAGCAGACGGCUGCAUUCAAGUUUAGGCUGUUGGAUUGUUCCAGAUAAGACAAGUACAAGAUUCUUCAGAGCCGUUCUACCAUGAGCCUGACAGGAAGAACUCCAACAGCUACUGAAUGUUCCUGUGGUUCCCUCAAGGCUACAGGAGGAGCCCUACGAGGACGAGCCGGUCCACCUGAUGGAGGCCAGUAGCUGCGGUUCAAAGCCAACACCGACUACGUGGACUUCUACUGGACCACACGGAGGCCUUCAAACCGGACCAACAAGUUCAGCGACUCCCCGACUCGUGGGUCUGAGGACGCCACCGAGCCUCGGUCCAGCCGGCCUCCUGUCUGUGGGUGUUUGAGUGCUGAGAGGUUUGUGGAUGGAUGUGAACGUUCUGUGUUGAAACAGCAGCUUUGGACUCAGUAACGCCAGGAAAAACCAAGAGCUCCUUUAUUUGUGACUUCCACUAAAAAAACUGAUGAAAAUAAGUUUGCCAGGGUUCUGACUGAUAACAGAUUAUUAGAUAAUGAAAAUAAUCAUUUAAAUAUUCCUUUAAACAAUCCUUUAGGUCUACAUUUCCUUUACACUGACUUCUUGGUAAAUGUACAAGUAUUUUUGGUGGAAUAUACCAUUAAGCCCAAUGUUCAAGGGUUCUUCUGGGAAUAUACCAUUAAACCAACCUUUUAGGUAAAUGUUCCAGGAUGUUGGGUGGAAUAUACCAUCAGACCAACCUCCAAGGUUUACAGUAGUGAAUUUUAGGUGGAAUAUACCAUUAAACUCACCUUUUAGGUCUACAUUGGAGGAUUUUAGGUGGAAUUUUCUUCCAAACCAUCUUUUAGUCUAGAUUUAAGGAUGUUUAGGAUGGUAUAUUCUUCCAAACCAACUUCUCAGGUCUACAUUUCAGGUGGAAUAUUCCUCCAUACUAACUUUUUUGGUCUACAUUGAAGGAUUUUUUUCUCAACCACUCUUUGGGGUCUAUAUUUGAGGUUUUAGGUGGAAUAUUCCUUUUAACCAGCCCCUCAGGUCUCUUUGAGGAUUUUGGAUGGAAUACUCGGUUAAACCAACAUUUUAGGUGCAUGUCCAAGGAUUUUUGGUGGAAUGUUCCUUGAAGGUGGAUGUUUGAGGACCUUGUAGAUGGAAUACUUCCUGAAACCAACCUUUUAGGUCAACAUUCAAAGAUUUAAGGUGGAAUAUUCCUUUAAACCAACCUGAAUUUCAUGUUUUGAUCAUUAUCAAGUGAGAAACCUCAAUCCAGACUCCUCAUAAUGACGUUUGAGAUUUAUGCUGCUGUUAUUUGUUUAGUCCAGACUAAAUGACAGAAAUCCACAACUGUAAUUUUAUUUCAGGACUCGGUUAUUAAAUGUCAAAACAAUCCAUGUGACUCUAAAAACUCAACAGCUUUACAAACUCUAAGAUUAAACUCUCCACAAGGAUCCAAAAUAAGUUGGACUUCUACAUGAGAGCUUUAAUUAUUCUUCAUCUACUUCCUGAAAAGUUUGGUCAAUAAAAAAG